CGCUGUGAUGAACCCCAGAUAGGGACAGCUUAUGCUUCGGCAUAUGAUGCGAACCCUGGGCGAGAAUUUUAGUAGAUGCUUCGACUUUCUGAGU
This 94-nucleotide small nucleolar RNA is filed under the name Tolypocladium ophioglossoides CBS 100239. RNAcentral's name for it is "A. fumigatus snoRNA Afu_335". It matches the Rfam family "A. fumigatus snoRNA Afu_335". Lineage: Eukaryota; Fungi; Ascomycota; Sordariomycetes; Hypocreales; Ophiocordycipitaceae. The record is from Rfam by way of RNAcentral.